UACGUAGGGGGCCAGCGUUGUCCGAAGUUACUGGGCGUAAAGGGUGCGUAGGCGGGUCUUUAUGUCAGGGGUGAAAUCCUGGAGCUCAACUCCAGAACUGCCUUUGAUACUGAGGAUCUUGAGUUCGGGAGAGGUGAGUGGAACUGCGAGUGUAGAGGUGAAAUUCGUAGAUAUUCGCAAGAACACCAGUGGCGAAGGCGGCUCACUGGCCCGAUACUGACGCUGAGGCACGAAAGCGUGGGGAGCAAACAGG
RNAcentral lists this ribosomal RNA (253 nucleotides) under uncultured bacterium. RNAcentral's name for it is "partial 16S ribosomal RNA". It matches the Rfam family "Bacterial small subunit ribosomal RNA", at positions 524 to 776 of the family's 1533-position model. The record is from RNAcentral.